CAAAAUUCAUGUAUUGAAAUCCUAACUGCCAACCUGAUAGUAUUAGGAGUUGUGGCCUUUAGGGAGGUGAUUAGGUCAUGAAAGCAGAACCAUCAAUAAUGAGAUUAGUGCCCUCAUAAAACAAGCCCAAGGAAGAACAUUCAUCCCUUUUACCAUGUGAGGACACAGCAAGAAGUUGGCAGUCUGCAAUCCAGAAGAGGGUUUUCACCAGAAUCCGAACAUACUGGCACCCUGAUCUUGGACUUCUUAGCUUCCAGAACUGCAUGAAGAAAUAAUGACACUGAAAACAUCGAGUGACUUAUUCAUACAGGAUGAGGAUGAGCAGGAGAUGAACCCUUAUCAAAUUCUGGCUCUACACCAAGCACUAAUAAUUAGCUGUUUGACACUCUUCCGGAUAUUGUUUUUGUCACUUAACAACAUAACUUGGUGAUCCUCCCAGAGCAGAAAAGCUCUCCCAGAUAUGUUUCAGGGCAGCGUAACCUUCCUUGUUCUUCCUUCACUGAGCAUGUUAUAUGUGGAAAGAACACAUCCUCACUUGGGGAAACCAGAUAAAUUGUUUAAAUUAUUGCAAAUGUGAAUGAUUUUAAUGUAGAAAUAACCUUUUUCAUUCCACAUUAAUCACAAAUACUGUUCACAACCCUUCGUAAUAAACUUGUCUCUGCUUUUUUUUUUUUUUUUUUUCCUGGUAUUCUUUGUGAUUAGAAUCUCUCGCCUUGGUAUCCGCUGUGUUCAAGAGCAGAACAGAGCUUUGAACUUUACAGGCUAGUGCUCAGAAUUAAAAGUGCUUAAUGCCACCAAGAUUUCUAUUAAAAAACCCAGGGUAAAGGAAAAAGCCUUUUGCUUCAGCUGAAAUGUUCUUGUAGAGGGCAAAAUGGAAAAUACAAACACCACUGCCGUUUGCUGGUUGGAUACCACAGCCAUCGGCACCUCCUGGAAAUGGCA
Molecule: long non-coding RNA, 942 nt
Filed under: Pan troglodytes (chimpanzee)
Lineage: Eukaryota; Metazoa; Chordata; Mammalia; Primates; Hominidae
Description: long non-coding RNA NONPTRT012943
Source: RNAcentral